Mirounga angustirostris (Northern elephant seal) is the source of this 6320-nucleotide long non-coding RNA. RefSeq lists it as uncharacterized. The transcript is spliced from 5 exons. The record is from RefSeq and is a predicted model, not a curated record. Lineage: Eukaryota; Metazoa; Chordata; Mammalia; Carnivora; Phocidae.
GCACCAUGAUCCUCCAUAGUUGAUGCAGGGGCCACAGAAUGCAUGUCAGCAGAGUCAGUGAGCACAGCCCCUGUCCUGGGAUCAGGCAUCCCUUCACUAAGGAUAGAGGAGCAUAUGAUGUCCCUCUACCGUCACCACUGCAAAUACAGUCAUCAUGGUUGAUGCUCCUGGCCUGUGACGUCACACCAUCGAAUGAAGGAGAGUGCCUCCUUAAAUCCUUUUCGCAACCAGGUAAAAGCCAUAUAUGUAUGUCUGCACACCAGAUUUGGGAGGCAGUUUACAAGAAACUCCAUGUUUCCUCCCUUAAUUUUUUUGUGCAUUAACUUCGCUCUGGAUUAAGUACCUCACUUGCCAAUCCAUUUACUCACACUAAAAAAGGCAGGGUCAACAGAAGAAAGUCUCCAGCAUGCGCCAGCCGCCCUCAGCAGCAAGUUGAUGAUCUUGCCUUCGGAUAUAUAAUCUCAAAAGGGGACUUUCCUCAGAAGCCCUCAAUGAGCAACACAAGGAAAACAAAGGAAAAGGGAAUUUGUGACUGUGAAUCACAGUCUCCACCAAAAUCCACACUCAUUCACCCAGACAGCUCCUCACUGGACACCACUUUGCAAUGCUAGGCUCAUGUCUUUUCAACCCUCUGCCCCCGUCAGGCCGGCUCAGCCCCACACAGUGCCCGGCUCGUCCUCUGCCGGAUGCUUGCAUCUCCCACUGGUGUGCGCUGAGCUAAGUCAUAAACAAUCACAUCCCUGUAGGGAAUGAAAGGGAAAGUGCCCAAGCAGAAAAGAAUGCAGAAAAGUGGGGGUGGAUUGAAACAGCUGGAGAAAGCACAGAGUGUUUACAUUCUGCCGAGUCACGGAGGGAGCUCUUGGACCCGAGUGCCCAGAUGAGGUGGGUUCCUCUGGGGUCUCUGAAAAAUGGGUACUUGAUUGAAUGCCUGAAUUCUACCCCAGACCUGGAGGUCUGAAUUUGUCAGGUGCUCCUGUCUAGAAGCCUUGAACACUUUGGGCACGUAAUCGUGACGUGGGUGUGGCUAGCCUUUCACCCACCUUCUCUGCGGGGCCUGUCUGCAGGGGUACGGAGAGGAGGAGGUGAUUUUCUGAGAAGAUCAGAAGGAAGGUUGGCUGGGGAACUCUGCUCCAUAUCAUCCUUAAUCAAGGACCCAGAGCUCAAGGAGGCCAAGGAACCCCAGAACUCUGCUGUCAGGAAGGAAAAAGGAGAUACCUUUACUAAUACACUAGCACCUAGAAGCAGGUAAUUCCCGGCUUUUUCUUCAGUGGACUCAUCAAACCAUCCCCGCCCACAGCACCACGUGACCCAGAAUCCCUUCCAGCAUUUUCCUAUAUUCCACACAAGAAAGGCUCCAAAACCUAGCUGCCAAGACUAAUCCUCCUUCACAGGAAGUGGGGGUGGGGAGACAUGACGCUAGAAGUGGGUGAAUAAUCUCAACGCUUCGCACCCUACAAAAUGCCAAGCCAUGAGAUUCAGUCGUUUCUGCUGUCCCCGGGGCACCUUUGGGCCAAGCACUUGACAUAGCACACUGAAUGACUCUUUGGCCCCUCAUCUACACGUGCACCCGAUCUGGCGAAUGACGAACAUCGCAGGUUUCCCCGGAUCUUUUGUGAGGCAGAUACAAGAUAAAUGAGAUCGGCAAACCUCGUUAAGGCGAAGAGCGAGUGCGUUACCGUUCAGGUGACUGCGAUGCUGGCUCAAGCUUGAGAACCACUGCUUUCUAGUCCAGAGCAUCUUCCGGAGUAUUGGCUGGGAUGCACAACCACGUUGCUAUCUGAUCUCGUCACGCUUCUGCCAAGAGGUGAAAUCUAAGAGCCCAGGUUCUGGAUGCCUGACAUCUUCUUCAGGUCACUUACCUGAGAACACCUGAGGACACUGCGGUCCGUCUUUCUGCGUGAACGUGUGCAGUCCCUGGGCUCUGAGAGGUAGAAAGGAGUGCUAAGUGAAGUCAGCCCUUAUGAGCUUCCAAUCACCUGUCAAACAUGGGACUGCCAAAUCAAAGACCGAGAGAACCAAAGACCACGGGGGCUCCAAAUGGUGUGGUUCUGACUGCAUGUGGAAACAGAAUGGAAGCACACACAUUGCAAAACUCUCCCCGCCCGCCCCCCCGCCAUCCUUCCUUGCUUUAUCUAUUCUCUCACACCCAGCUGCUGUUACAGCCCCCUCCUUUUCCUCCCAGCUCACUGCCCACCCUGGGUUUGCUCCAGUUUUCUCUCUUAUUGCCCCUAACACCACCCCUCCAUCUCUUGUCCUCUUCCCCUCCACCCCAUUCUGGUUUUGUUUUAGAUCGCAGAAGUCCCGAGGAUAGAUUCAGCAAGGACAGAGACCCCAGAAGGCAGGGGGAAAGGAGGGAACAGAGCGGACAAGGACAGAUUUCGGUUCAGGAUAAAGACUGAGAACACCCGAGUGCACUUGACCAUCAGUGCUCCUGUCCCUGAGCACCGCAAGCCUGGGGCAUGGAGACUGAGCUGCGGGCUGCAGGUGUGGCAGAAGCUCCUGAGGGCCACUGGACGUGAGCUAAGCCGUGGCAGGUGAGGGGGCUCUGGGUGAGCGGAGGGGAGGGAGGGGCCCUUCCAGCCCAUAGCAGGAAGGAGCCUGAGCGUGAGGGUCAUGGUAGCCUGUGGGGGAUGGAGGAUAUGAUGCAGAGUCGUGGGAAGUGAGGCUGGAUAGGUCUUCAGACGGAGGAGGUGACAGAUAAAGUUGGAGUUGGUUCCUGAGCGGAGGAGAAGUGUGUGUAAUAAUGAAUUCUAUCAGUACUGAGAAGGCAUCAUGUCCUGCAGGAGUCACGAUUGAAAUGCGGGUGGUGUGAAGCAGGUGAGGUACGAAGCAGUCGGGCCGGGAGGGGCUGUGGUGAGCUAGAGCCCGUGCCCACUCUAACGUGGGGGAUUACUGGGGAAUCAGUCUCUUAAUGUGAAGUUUCUUCAUUUUUUAAAAGAGACGAGGUUUUUUUAAAUUGAGGUAUAAUUGACACACUGUUACGUUAGUUUCAGGUGUACAACAUGGUGAUUGCAGGAGUCUCUACAUGAUGCUGUGCUCCCCACGAGUGUAGCUCCCAACUGUCCCACACAGUGCUGUUACCCUUCCACUGACUGUAUUCCCUGUGCUGUAUCUUCCAUCCCCGUGGCUUAUUUAUUCCAUAACUGAAAACCUGUACCUCCCACUCCCCAUCACCCAUCUUCCUCACCACCCCCGGCCUCUUAACCUCUGGCAACCAUCAGUUUCUUCUCUGUAUUAUGGGUCUGUUUCUGCUUGUUUUCAUCAUUGUUGUUCAUUUGUUUUGUUUUUUAGAUUCCACACAUAUGUGAAAUCACAUGGUAUUUGUUUUUCUCUGACUUAUUUCACUUAGGAUAAUUCCUCUAGGUCCAUCCAUGUUGUUGCAAAUGUCAAGAUCUCAUUUUUUUAUGGCUGAGUAAUACUCCAGUGUUUAUACAUCACAUCUUCUGUAUCCAUUGCAUCCAUUGAUGAACACUUAGUUUGCUUCCAUAUGUUGACUAUUGUGAAUAAUGCUGCAGUAAAAAAGGAUGCACAUAUCUUUUCUUUUCUUUUUUUUUUUUUUUAAGAUUUUGUUUAUUUAUUUGACAGAGCGAGAGGGAACACAAGCAGGGGGAAUGGGAGAGGGAGAAGCAGGCUUCCCUCUGAGCAGGGAGCCUGAAGCAGGGCUCAAUCCCAGGACCCUGGGAUCAUGACCUGAGAUGAAGGCAGACGCUUAAUGACUGAGCCACCCAGGUGCCCCACAUACAUCUUUUCAAACUAGUGUUUUCAUUUUCUUUGGGUGAAUACCCAGUAGUGGAAUUACUGGAUUAUAUACUGGAAAUAUAUAUAUUUCUAUUUUUAAGCUGUGAAGGACUUCGACACUGUUUUCCACAGUGGCUGCACCAGGUUAAUGUUACCACCAAGGGUGCACAAGUUUCAUUUUUCUCCACAUCCUCACCGAUACAUACUUCUUGUCUUUUUCAUGCUAGCCGUUCUGACUGGUAGGAGGUGGUAACUCACUGUGGCUCUGAUUUGCAUUUUUCUGAUGAUGAGUGAUGUUGAGCACCUUUUCAUGGAGGUGUUGGCCAUCUGGAGGUCUUCUUAGGGAAAAUUUUUAUUUAUGUCCUCUGCCCUCCCCCCUUUUUUUUAAUUUCACCUACCCACUUGACAGAGAAAGAGUGAGAGCGAGAUAGAGCAAGCGCACAAGCAGGGAGAGUGGCAGAGGGAGAGGGAGAAGCAGGCUCCCUGCUGAGCAAGGAGCCCGAUGCGGGCAGAUCCCAGGACCUCAGGAUCAUGAUCCUAGCUGAAGGCAGACACACAACUGACCAAGGUACCCAGGCGCCCCCGUGCCCAUUUUUAAUCAGCCUAUUUGUUUCUUCAUUUUAAAAUAUGGUAGCUAAUUAAAAAUUUUAAAGUCUGGGCCUCUGGUUGGUCAGUUCUGACUUGGAUUUUUUUAAAUUUUUAAUUUAAAGGGGUUUUUUUUUUUAAGUUUUUAUAUAUUUAUUCAUGUAAUCUCUGUACCCAGUGUGGGGAUCAGACUCAUGACCCCCAGAUCAAGAGUCUCAUGCUCUUCCAACCGAGCCAACCAGGUACCCCUCUGACUUGGAUUUUUUUUUUUUCUGGCCUGGGGCUUUGUACCAUACUGUGAAAAUACUAAAGCUAGUAUAUCUUCUUAGUUUCCUCCCUUACUCUUUUCUAUUAAACCCAUUUAUGAUGAAAAUCAAAAAAAUAAGUAUUCACUGAACAACAACAGUGUACUUUUAAAUGCUUCACUUGGAUUAUCCAUUUAAUCCUCACACAGUCCUGUAAGAUUAGCUACUCCUAUCUUAUAGAUGAGAGAACUAAGGCUCAGAGAGGUAAAAUCCCUUGCCCCAGAUCGUACAGCAAGUAGGGAAGCCAGGACUCCAGCCCAGGUGGUCACAUUCUUGACUCAUGCCUUUAGCCUGUGUGUCAUAUCCUUUCCUGUGUAGUUCAGUUACCAUAUUUCAGUCAUGGUUUUCCACCUUCCAAGCAUGAGCGAUAAUCGUGAGGUUGUGUUUUACCUUCUUGUGUUAAAAUAUCGGUGUGCGUUUUCCUUGCCCAUGCCCUGGUGUGGAAUGUGGGUCUGUUCUGGUCGGUUUGACAAAUAUUUACUGGGUAUUCAUGAUGUGCCAUGCAGCGUGCUGGGCACCAGUCACUGACCAUCAUGAAACCGUUUUAUUUAUUUUUUAUUUUACUUAUUUUUUAAGUAAACUCUACCUCCACUGUGGGGCUGGAACUCACGACCCACCCCGAGAUCCAGAGUCCCAUGCUCUACUGCCUGAGCCAGCCAGGCGCCCCCAUGAAACUGUUUUAAUAGGAAAUGCUGACGGAAGCACAAAAUCUCAACAUAAUGUGGGAUGUCAUGUUGGAAUACAGGCAUCCUCGGGAUGUGGUGAGAUCACACACUGGAGUCCUGCAUGUGGGGGAAGGGGUAAGUCAGGGAGGACUUCCUGUGAGAAAUGUCAUGGGGGCUGAGUGUCAGAGAACUCUGAGGAGCAGCGAGGUUCAACGGGCCAGCACUGGAAGAGGCAGAGGGUAUAGGCAAGAUCGAGAGGGUGGUGACCAGGCAUCAGGAGGAGUUGGGGACCUCAGGGUUAGAUGUUCCCGAAAAAGCUGACAAACAGAAGGGCGGCUGCUAAAGGAGGUAGGGUUGAUAGGCUAAGGGGCAGACCCCACAGAGAGAAUAAAGACCGAUUUGUGAGUGAAUGGAGGAGAUAAAUCGACCAAAAGCCAGAGGAGGGCAUUGCAUUAGCUCAGCCUGGCACAUGGAAGGACUGACCACCUCUUACUAGUAUGAGAGCGUAAGCAGGCUCCUUCACCUCUGUGAUCCUCAGUUUCCUCAUGCAAAGUAGAGUCUGUCACUGAUAGUUUGGUGGGUAUUGCAUCAGAUGCCCCUGCCAGGUCUAGGCCAGUGCUUGGCCAGGGCAAUUGCUUAGACAAUGUGAGUUAUCAUCAUUGAGGCACUUACUAAAUGUUUGUUGAAUGAAUGAAAGACGGCAAUGGCUUAAGCCAACCCAGUGAUACCAACAGGAGUUGGGAGAUCAAUGCAGGAGCUUAAAGUUGAGACUCGCCCGUGAUUCUGCGUGUCUUUUGAGGACUGGGAAAUAAGGGCUACAUUCAUUUGCAACGGAGAUACGUUUCAGUGCUGUCAUAAAGUCCCAGUGAAGCUAUCUGGUCCCCCUGACCAGCAGCCUGCCUCCACAUGCCAGUCUGACCCCAGAUGCUGCAGCUGAAUCAGCCAUCACUGGGUGCUGAGGCUGCUGAUUUUCCCCAGGGGGCUCAUCUGCACUCCUGUGACUCUAGCAUUCCUGCAGGUUUCAUCA